GAUUUUUUUUCAUGAUAUUAGAUGAAGAUAUUAUGUAAUUAAUAUAAUAUUUUAAUUAGCUUUGUGCUAAUUUUAAAAGCUAAUUGUUCCUUUCAAUUGCAGCACGGUCAUGUCAGGUUUGGGUAGAAAGUGUAUCCAUCCGGAAGGAUAAAGAAAAAGGAAGGAGAUAACCAAACUAAUGCCAACCGGGAAGAUGAUGGUGAUACUCCUACAGAGGACAAUGUUUACAUCAACAUGGAUGAUACCAAUGACCGGGACACGAGGGACGUUCUUCUUAGGGGUCGCCCGUGACAAGGACUCUAUGCACUUGAUUUGCCGCCUCCUCCCCACGUCUUCAGCGGUGUGCGUGUAUCGUCUACUCAUUGGCACGCGCGGCUUCGUCAUCCUGCCACCCCCAUCGUCAGUCAUGUUGUUCAUCGACAUGCUCUUCCAGUUUUGUCCAAUAAAAACCAUGCAACAAUUUGCGAUGCCUAUAAGCAAGGGAAGAGUCAUCAACUUCUGUUUUCAUAUUUGAAUCAUGUAGUCAAAACUCCACUUGAGCUUGUGUUUUCUGAUGUGUGGUGUCAUACCCAAACUUGUCUUAAUUAGUGGUCAUAAUUACCAUGUCAGUUUCAUUGAUGCUUACAGUCGGUUUACUUGGAUUUAUCUUAUUCAGCGCAAA
Long non-coding RNA from Hordeum vulgare subsp. vulgare (domesticated barley), 661 nucleotides. RefSeq lists it as uncharacterized. Lineage: Eukaryota; Viridiplantae; Streptophyta; Magnoliopsida; Poales; Poaceae. The transcript has 3 exons. The record is from RefSeq and is a predicted model, not a curated record.